GAUGAACGCUGGCGGCGUGCCUAAUACAUGCAAGUCGAGCGAACAGAUGAGGAGCUUGCUCCUCUGACGUUAGCGGCGGACGGGUGAGUAACACGUGGAUAACCUACCUAUAAGACUGGGAUAACUUCGGGAAACCGGAGCUAAUACCGGAUAAUAUAUUGAACCGCAUGGUUCAAUAGUGAAAGACGGUUUUGCUGUCACUUAUAGAUGGAUCCGCGCCGCAUUAGCUAGUUGGUAAGGUAACGGCUUACCAAGGCAACGAUGCGUAGCCGACCUGAGAGGGUGGUCGGCGACACUGGAACUGAGACACGGUCCAGACUCCUACGGGACGCCGCAGUAGGGAAUCUUCCGCAAUGGGCGAAAGCCUGACGGAGCAACGCCGCGUGAGUGAUGAAGGUCUUCGGAUCGUAAAGCUCUGUUAUUAGGGAAGAACAAAUGUGGAAGUAACUAUGCACGUCUUGACGGUACCUAAUCAGAAAGCCACGGCUAACUACGUG
RNAcentral lists this ribosomal RNA (497 nucleotides) under uncultured bacterium. RNAcentral's name for it is "partial 16S ribosomal RNA". It matches the Rfam family "Bacterial small subunit ribosomal RNA", at positions 28 to 507 of the family's 1533-position model. The record is from RNAcentral.